CGGGGGUUGGCUCAGCUUGGUAGAGCGCUUGAAUGGGGUUCAAGAGGCCGAGAGUUCAAAUCUCUCACCCCCGA
RNAcentral lists this transfer RNA (74 nucleotides) under Candidatus Omnitrophota bacterium. RNAcentral describes it as "tRNA-Pro". It matches the Rfam family "tRNA". From Rfam's summary of the family: Transfer RNA (tRNA) molecules are approximately 80 nucleotides in length. Their secondary structure includes four short double-helical elements and three loops (D, anti-codon, and T loops). Lineage: Bacteria; Pseudomonadati; Candidatus Omnitrophota. The record is from RNAcentral.